GAAAAACUCGUCAUGACUGAUA
This 22-nucleotide microRNA is filed under the name Ornithorhynchus anatinus (platypus). RNAcentral's name for it is "Oan-Mir-1422-P8_3p* (star (passenger))". The record is from RNAcentral. Lineage: Eukaryota; Metazoa; Chordata; Mammalia; Monotremata; Ornithorhynchidae.